GAUGAACGCUGGCGGCGUGCCUAAUACAUGCCAGUCGAGCGAACAGACGAGGAGCUUGCUCCUCUGACGUUAGCGGCGGACGGGUGAGUAACACGUGGAUAACCUACCUAUAAGACUGGGAUAACUUCGGGAAACCGGAGCUAAUACCGGAUAAUAUAUUGCACCGCAUGGUUCAAUAGUGAAAUACGGUUUUGCUGUCACUUAUCGAUGGAUCCGCGCCGCAUUAGCUAGUUGGUAAGGUAACGGCUUACCAAGGCGACGAUGCGUAGCCGACCUGAGAGGGUGAUAGGCCACCCGGGAACUGAGACACGGUCCAGACUCCUACGGGAGGCAGCAGUAGGGAAUCUGCCGCAAUGGGCGAAAGCCUGACGGAGCAACGGCGCGUGAGUGAUGAAGGUCUUCGGAUCGUAAAACUCUGUUAUUAGGGAAGAACAAAUGUGUAAGUAACUAUGCACGUCUUGACGGUAACUAAUCAGAAAGCAACGGCUAACUACGUG
RNAcentral lists this ribosomal RNA (497 nucleotides) under uncultured bacterium. RNAcentral describes it as "partial 16S ribosomal RNA". It matches the Rfam family "Bacterial small subunit ribosomal RNA", at positions 28 to 507 of the family's 1533-position model. The record is from RNAcentral.